This 399-nucleotide ribosomal RNA is filed under the name Triticum aestivum (bread wheat). Its description in RNAcentral is "partial small subunit ribosomal RNA". Lineage: Eukaryota; Viridiplantae; Streptophyta; Magnoliopsida; Poales; Poaceae. The record is from RNAcentral.
AUGUGUUGGAAGAAAAAACCGGGCUACCCAAGCAGUGACUUGCUCAUACUCAAUAAACAGUUCAUGCAGACAGAUGCAGCCCGGUGUGUUGAUGUAGACCAGACCGCAAGAGAUGGACGACAAAGGCGACCACAACAUCAGAAGCAGCUCGGACAGAUGAGUCGACCGCGGCAUUCGCAGGGGCGUAGAAAGGGAGCAGCCUGCAGGGCCAGGGCGACCGGUUCAGAAGCAAUUCACUGGCAAGGCCGCGGCGUAGAGCAGUUUGCAGGCGAACGACAAGCCGAGGCCGAUGAGGUGUGCGGGGGCGGCUCGCGAGCAGAGGCAUUAGGCAGCAACACCGAUGCUUCACGGUGGAACGGCUCAGUGCUCACUUCGGCGGUGAGGCGGAUGAGGCCGUAG